RNAcentral lists this ribosomal RNA (498 nucleotides) under uncultured bacterium. RNAcentral describes it as "partial 16S ribosomal RNA". It matches the Rfam family "Bacterial small subunit ribosomal RNA", at positions 28 to 523 of the family's 1533-position model. The record is from RNAcentral.
GAUGAACGCUAGCGGCAGGCCUAAUACAUGCAAGUCGAACGGUAAAUAUUGUAGCAAUACGAUAUGAGAGUGACGUACGGGUGCGUAACACGUAUGCAACCUACCCAAAACUGGAGUAUAGCUCGGGGAAACCCGAAUUAACCCUUCAUAGUAUCACUGGAUGGCAUCAUUUGGUGAUUAAAACUCAGGUGGUUUUGGAUGGGCAUGCGUCUGAUUAGCUAGUUGGCGGGGUAAAGGCCCACCAAGGCGAUGAUCAGUAGGGGAACGGAGAGGUUGAUCCCCCACACGGGCACUGAGAUACGGGCCAGACUCCUACGGGAGGCAGCAGUAGGGAAUAUUGGUCAAUGGAUGCAAGUCUGAACCAGCCAUGCCGCGUGCAGGAAGAAGGCCUUCUGGGUUGUAAACUGCUUUUGCCAGAGGAUAAAAUGGGCGUGCGCGCCUAAUUGAAGGUACCUGGUGAAUAAGCCACGGCUAACUACGUGCCAGCCGCCGCCGUAA